AUUUUGUUGAGUUUCUUCAACAGACUGGAAACAAAUGUUCCAGACCAUGUGCAAGGGAUGUGCUUUCCCUAUUGAACCUGGCGAUCGAUGGGUUGAGGCCAUGGGCAGCAACUACCACUCCGAGUGUUUUAACUGCUCCACUUGCCAGGUGUCAUUGGAGGGACAACCAUUCUAUGCUAAGGCAGGCAAACCCUACUGCAAGAAACAUGCACGAUAGAGUAAUGUGAAAAUGGUAAUGUUGACGACCUACCCAACCCCUGUGUCAGCCCAGACAGGGUACCUUGUCACUGCAAUGUGAACUUAACGUCGUAUAUCACCAUGACAAGGCUACAACAGACUUCAGGGGAUGGAACCAGAUAUUUUAUUCCUCCAACAAGCUAUUGACAUUCAAAAGACUGUCAACUCCAAAUCUACAAACAUGAAUAAAAGACUGUAAGCCUAUACAAUUGAUCCUCUGAUGAAAGCAAACUCUUAUCCUUGCUAUUGUACACAUUAGAACUAGGUUUUAAUUUCAUGUGUGAUACAUUUUAAUCCUCGCCAAAUAUAUAAUCUUCAAUUUGUGUUGCAAGGUAGACAACCCUGUUCUCCAAAUCCUGGAAGCUUAUUUGUCUGGCAAGCGAGUUGAAAAGGGACAUAACUUCCAAAUUUAUCAAUUGCAUGCAUCUUAUUGACGAUCAAUCCUUAUUUGUUAAGCCAAAACAACAGAACAUUAACUUAAACCAAUUUCUUGAUUGGUUGGAGUCCAAGGCAAAGAUCUUGUCCUUUAGGUUGCCAUGAUCCAUGCCUGUAGCUGUAUGACAGGGUUCUAUUGAAAUUUUAAUACUGAUUUUUUUGUAUAUUUUGUAAUUGUAUACAUAAUUUUCAAAUAGCAUAAUAUAUUUUCCUAAUUAAUGUCUCGAUGAUUUACGCCUUAUCUUUAUUAUAAACUUUACUGGUCCCAGUAUUGGCUUUAAUUCAACGGUGGACAUGUGUACGUGUCCAUUCCAUUGCUAUGGUUACCAUAUGAAAUGAUCUUAUAGGUUGGAAUGGAACAAACCAAACGAUUGACGUCUUAUGACUCCCAUACUAUAAUGUCAUCAUAAUAGCGGGGUUAAUGUCCAUACAGGUGCUGAGGAUGUUUAAACUAAUCAGCAUUACAUAAGUUAGUACAAAACUUACCUGAAAGGUUGGCAAGGAUAUUCAGUAAACUGGUUGAGGAUGUUGUUGACUAUCUGAUAAAUGUUAUAUGACGUAUUUGUCUGUUUGCUUAAUAUAUGGCUUCACAAAAAUUGUCAUAUUUUUUCCUGAACUACUAAAUAUACAGCUUUUUUCUCAUCAGUAAAAUUGAACAAAUGUUUUAUAUGCUGCAAUUUUUCUCACUUAUCUGCAAAAUAAAAUGAAAGUUUGGCAUGUGUUUGACAGGCAUUUUAGUAUACAAAUGCAUAGUUCCUGUACGGUUGAUCUAGAACAAAGCAGGGACGUAUAGUGAACAUAGUAAUUAUCUAUAUAUCAAUGUAUGAGUUAGUGAGACAUGAGUGAAGUAUAAAACCAUUGAAACAGAUAGCCUGUUGUAUAAGUCACAUUAUUUUGUGUGGAUUUUAUGUACAUAUAUGUAAAUUAGCAAUGCAUAUAAUACAAGCGACUCUAACCAUUCUUUGCUAAAUAUACUGUAGAAUUGCAUCUAUUUUUAGAAUUUAAAUGGCUUGUUGUUUGAAUUACAUUUUCGUAUUAUUAAGCAUUAAUUAUUUUUACAUAAAAUUGAAUAUUUUGAUACUGCUGAUCAUGUUUACAACUAGUAAAGUUUUGGCCUAUAUGUCUAUUAUCAGUCCAAAGGGUUGGGGUCAGAAAGUUGGAUGGGAUAUCAGUGAACACGUCAACAGAUGUCUCGACUCUAAUACAGAUGAUAAAGUAAACAACUCUCUGGUGAAGAGGCUUCAUUACAGAUCUGAUCAGGGUUUUUUGUCACACUGAAGAUAUAUUUGUCAAUGCCCUAUUGGUUAAUCAGCCAGUUAUGUUUCCUGUAGAGGACCCAUCUCAAGCAGAAUACAAGAUAAACAUAACUACGGUAAUAUUUACAUACCAAGGGAAACACUAUCUCAUGUUCACCAGGGACCUUACCGAUAGUUUAUUGUAUUAAAAGAAACACAACUUAUGAUGUGACAAAUGUGUUAAAGAUUUUAAUCAGGUUAUAUAGGCUGAUAUAACCUGCAUUUAGGUUAUAAUGUAAAAUAGACAAAUUAUAUUUAUACAUUGUAUGUAAGCUAAUUCACUGCCAGGGUAUGACGUAGGUACUAACAUGGUUGGUGUAUGUGUUCCCGUGUAGCUCCAUGUGUACCCAUAUAUAUUUAUCUACAUCAAUGGCAAGUGUAUCGCUGUCUUACAUACAGGCAUCUUAUACAGGGUUCAGGCCGACUUUACUCCCAUAACAUAUUUUGUUGAUAUGUAAAUUUUUUUUUAAAUCGGUAGAAGAAAUAUUAUUUGCCAAUUCGUGACCUUUUAAAACAUGAUGUGAUUACCUGUCAUUGAAAAGAGGAAUGUUACUAAGUCAAAAAAGUAAAACUUUCAUAAAAAAUGUCCA
Molecule: long non-coding RNA, 2557 nt
Filed under: Mizuhopecten yessoensis (Yesso scallop)
Lineage: Eukaryota; Metazoa; Mollusca; Bivalvia; Pectinida; Pectinidae
Description: uncharacterized LOC110444567
Source: RNAcentral